UGGUGUUCGGGUUGUCAUGCCAAUGGCACUGCCCGGUAGCUAAAUGCGGAAGAGAUAAGUGCUGAAAGCAUCUAAGCACGAAACUUGCCCCGAGAUGAGUUCUCCCUGACUCCUUGAGAGUCCUGAAGGAACGUUGAAGACGACGACGUUGAUAGGCCGGGUGUGUAAGCGCAGCGAUGCGUUGAGCUAACCGGUACUAAUGAACCGUGAGGCUUAACCUUACAACGCCGAAGCUGUU
RNAcentral lists this ribosomal RNA (238 nucleotides) under Escherichia coli. Its description in RNAcentral is "partial 23S ribosomal RNA". It matches the Rfam family "Bacterial large subunit ribosomal RNA", at positions 2710 to 2925 of the family's 2925-position model. The record is from RNAcentral. Lineage: Bacteria; Pseudomonadati; Pseudomonadota; Gammaproteobacteria; Enterobacterales; Enterobacteriaceae.